This 254-nucleotide ribosomal RNA is filed under the name uncultured bacterium. Its description in RNAcentral is "partial 16S ribosomal RNA". It matches the Rfam family "Bacterial small subunit ribosomal RNA", at positions 524 to 776 of the family's 1533-position model. The record is from RNAcentral.
GACGUAGGAGGCGAGCGUUAUCCGGAUUCACUGGGCGUAAAGCGCAUGUAGGCGGUUGUGUAAGUCCGUUGUUAAAGCCCCUGGCUCAACUGGGGGAGGUCAAUGGAGACUAUACUGACUUGAGGGCAACAGAGGCACACGGAACUCCCGGUGUAGCGGUGGAAUGCGUAGAGAUCGGGAAGAACACCCGUGGCGAAGGCGGUGUGCUGGGUUGCGACUGACGCUGAGAUGCGAAAGUGUGGGGAGCAAACGGG